Molecule: long non-coding RNA, 366 nt
Filed under: Salvia miltiorrhiza (redroot sage)
Lineage: Eukaryota; Viridiplantae; Streptophyta; Magnoliopsida; Lamiales; Lamiaceae
Description: long non-coding RNA (SMIL_LNC009381)
Source: RNAcentral
GAACUUUAAGUUUAUUUAUUUUCUAAAAAAAUUAUUUUCCAGUUUUUAAUUUAUUUAUUUAUUUAUUUUCGAAUUUUCAGUUUAUUUAUUUAUUUAUUUCCAGUUUAUUUAUUUUCUGAAUUUUCAAUUUAUUUAAUUAAAGAGUAAAAAAAGAAAGAAAGAAAUAGCUUAUAUAAAAAAGAACACUUUAAUAAGUCAAGGCAUAAUGUAUGUUAAAUAGCUAAUGAAAGAUUAGUAAAAGUAAUCAAAAUAUAUUAACACUACCCUUUUAGUCUUUUACACCACUUUUACACCACCUUUUUCAGCUUUCUUAGUUUCCGUGCCGACCAUCAAAUGGGUAGUUGAUUGGUGGACGGAGGGAGUAUA